This 2931-nucleotide ribosomal RNA is filed under the name Escherichia coli. RNAcentral describes it as "23S ribosomal RNA". It matches the Rfam family "Bacterial large subunit ribosomal RNA". The record is from RNAcentral. Lineage: Bacteria; Pseudomonadati; Pseudomonadota; Gammaproteobacteria; Enterobacterales; Enterobacteriaceae.
GGGUUGUGAGGUUAAGCGACUAAGCGUACACGGUGGAUGCCCUGGCAGUCAGAGGCGAUGAAGGACGUGCUAAUCUGCGAUAAGCGUCGGUAAGGUGAUAUGAACCGUUAUAACCGGCGAUUUCCGAAUGGGGAAACCCAGUGUGUUUCGACACACUAUCAUUAACUGAAUCCAUAGGUUAAUGAGGCGAACCGGGGGAACUGAAACAUCUAAGUACCCCGAGGAAAAGAAAUCAACCGAGAUUCCCCCAGUAGCGGCGAGCGAACGGGGAGGAGCCCAGAGCCUGAAUCAGUGUGUGUGUUAGUGGAAGCGUCUGGAAAGGCGCGCGAUACAGGGUGACAGCCCCGUACACAAAAAUGCACAUGCUGUGAGCUCGAUGAGUAGGGCGGGACACGUGGUAUCCUGUCUGAAUAUGGGGGGACCAUCCUCCAAGGCUAAAUACUCCUGACUGACCGAUAGUGAACCAGUACCGUGAGGGAAAGGCGAAAAGAACCCCGGCGAGGGGAGUGAAAAAGAACCUGAAACCGUGUACGUACAAGCAGUGGGAGCCUCUUAAUGGGGUGACUGCGUACCUUUUGUAUAAUGGGUCAGCGACUUAUAUUCUGUAGCAAGGUUAACCGAAUAGGGGAGCCGAAGGGAAACCGAGUCUUAACUGGGCGUUAAGUUGCAGGGUAUAGACCCGAAACCCGGUGAUCUAGCCAUGGGCAGGUUGAAGGUUGGGUAACACUAACUGGAGGACCGAACCGACUAAUGUUGAAAAAUUAGCGGAUGACUUGUGGCUGGGGGUGAAAGGCCAAUCAAACCGGGAGAUAGCUGGUUCUCCCCGAAAGCUAUUUAGGUAGCGCCUCGUGAAUUCAUCUCCGGGGGUAGAGCACUGUUUCGGCAAGGGGGUCAUCCCGACUUACCAACCCGAUGCAAACUGCGAAUACCGGAGAAUGUUAUCACGGGAGACACACGGCGGGUGCUAACGUCCGUCGUGAAGAGGGAAACAACCCAGACCGCCAGCUAAGGUCCCAAAGUCAUGGUUAAGUGGGAAACGAUGUGGGAAGGCCCAGACAGCCAGGAUGUUGGCUUAGAAGCAGCCAUCAUUUAAAGAAAGCGUAAUAGCUCACUGGUCGAGUCGGCCUGCGCGGAAGAUGUAACGGGGCUAAACCAUGCACCGAAGCUGCGGCAGCGACACUAUGUGUUGUUGGGUAGGGGAGCGUUCUGUAAGCCUGUGAAGGUGUACUGUGAGGUAUGCUGGAGGUAUCAGAAGUGCGAAUGCUGACAUAAGUAACGAUAAAGCGGGUGAAAAGCCCGCUCGCCGGAAGACCAAGGGUUCCUGUCCAACGUUAAUCGGGGCAGGGUGAGUCGACCCCUAAGGCGAGGCCGAAAGGCGUAGUCGAUGGGAAACAGGUUAAUAUUCCUGUACUUGGUGUUACUGCGAAGGGGGGACGGAGAAGGCUAUGUUGGCCGGGCGACGGUUGUCCCGGUUUAAGCGUGUAGGCUGGUUUUCCAGGCAAAUCCGGAAAAUCAAGGCUGAGGCGUGAUGACGAGGCACUACGGUGCUGAAGCAACAAAUGCCCUGCUUCCAGGAAAAGCCUCUAAGCAUCAGGUAACAUCAAAUCGUACCCCAAACCGACACAGGUGGUCAGGUAGAGAAUACCAAGGCGCUUGAGAGAACUCGGGUGAAGGAACUAGGCAAAAUGGUGCCGUAACUUCGGGAGAAGGCACGCUGAUAUGUAGGUGAAGUCCCUCGCGGAUGGAGCUGAAAUCAGUCGAAGAUACCAGCUGGCUGCAACUGUUUAUUAAAAACACAGCACUGUGCAAACACGAAAGUGGACGUAUACGGUGUGACGCCUGCCCGGUGCCGGAAGGUUAAUUGAUGGGGUUAGCGGUAACGCGAAGCUCUUGAUCGAAGCCCCGGUAAACGGCGGCCGUAACUAUAACGGUCCUAAGGUAGCGAAAUUCCUUGUCGGGUAAGUUCCGACCUGCACGAAUGGCGUAAUGAUGGCCAGGCUGUCUCCACCCGAGACUCAGUGAAAUUGAACUCGCUGUGAAGAUGCAGUGUACCCGCGGCAAGACGGAAAGACCCCGUGAACCUUUACUAUAGCUUGACACUGAACAUUGAGCCUUGAUGUGUAGGAUAGGUGGGAGGCUUUGAAGUGUGGACGCCAGUCUGCAUGGAGCCGGCCUUGAAAUACCACCCUUUAAUGUUUGAUGUUCUAACGUUGGCCCCUUACCGGGGUUGCGGACAGUGUCUGGUGGGUAGUUUGACUGGGGCGGUCUCCUCCUAAAGAGUAACGGAGGAGCACGAAGGUUGGCUAAUCCUGGUCGGACAUCAGGAGGUUAGUGCAAUGGCAUAAGCCAGCUUGACUGCGAGCGUGACGGCGCGAGCAGGUGCGAAAGCAGGUCAUAGUGAUCCGGUGGUUCUGAAUGGAAGGGCCAUCGCUCAACGGAUAAAAGGUACUCCGGGGAUAACAGGCUGAUACCGCCCAAGAGUUCAUAUCGACGGCGGUGUUUGGCACCUCGAUGUCGGCUCAUCACAUCCUGGGGCUGAAGUAGGUCCCAAGGGUAUGGCUGUUCGCCAUUUAAAGUGGUACGCGAGCUGGGUUUAGAACGUCGUGAGACAGUUCGGUCCCUAUCUGCCGUGGGCGCUGGAGAACUGAGGGGGGCUGCUCCUAGUACGAGAGGACCGGAGUGGACGCAUCACUGGUGUUCGGGUUGUCAUGCCAAUGGCACUGCCCGGUAGCUAAAUGCGGAAGAGAUAAGUGCUGAAAGCAUCUAAGCACGAAACUUGCCCCGAGAUGAGUUCUCCCUGACUCCUUGAGAGUCCUGAAGGAACGUUGAAGACGACGACGUUGAUAGGCCGGGUGUGUAAGCGCAGCGAUGCGUUGAGCUAACCGGUACUAAUGAACCGUGAGGCUUAACCUUACAACGCCGAAGGUGUUU